This 648-nucleotide long non-coding RNA is filed under the name Nicotiana benthamiana. RNAcentral's name for it is "long non-coding RNA (NBEN_LNC034416)". Lineage: Eukaryota; Viridiplantae; Streptophyta; Magnoliopsida; Solanales; Solanaceae. The record is from RNAcentral.
UUGAGCCUCUUCUUCUUCUUUCUUCAUGUAAUAGACAACCCUAAAACCCUAGGGAGUGGUCCACCACUCCACUGCCAUUCUCUCUGUCACCGCACCCAAAGUACCAUAAAAGCCAGCUGCCACUCCACCCUCCUUCACGCCAAGAACUCGACACCCACAGUCACUCACACGUACGGAAACGGAGGAGGCAACGGAAAAGGGGAACGAAGGAAACUGGACAGAGGGAGUGGCAAUAUAGGACAGGGAUUCGGGGUUUUUGGUUUUGCUUAUGAUUUUCGCGUUCCUGAUUUCAUCUUAGUUCAUCGAUAUUAAGAAAAAAAAAUUCAGUGGAUUUUGGCUUCGUUUCUGAUUUCAAACUCGAAAACAUAAUGAAAAUUCUAGAUGUUUUUUUUGUCUUGGCUUCUGAAACAGAGUCGAAUUGAAAUAGGUGUUCGAUCGUAGAAGUUGCCGUCCUAGAGGUGAGGCAGUCCGGUGAGGGAUUCAAUGAGUUUCAGUCGAGGUUCGAUUAAAGCUCGUAACUCUUUGUUUCCGGUUUGAGAUCUGUCUGGCAUAUGUUGGUUCAAGCUUCAGUUGUUUUGAAUUCGGGGUUGUAGCAAUUGCUUGAUUCCUAUUCGUGUAAUUAUUGUAAAAUUUCGAUCAAUUAAAGCU